Molecule: ribosomal RNA, 253 nt
Filed under: uncultured bacterium
Lineage: Bacteria
Description: partial 16S ribosomal RNA
Rfam family: Bacterial small subunit ribosomal RNA
Source: RNAcentral
UACGAAGGGGGCUAGCGUUGCUCGGAAUGACUGGGCGUAAAGGGCGCGUAGGCGGACUGCACAGUCAGGCGUGAAAUUCCUGGGCUGAACCUGGGGACUGCGUCUGAGACGUGUGAUCUAGAGUGAGGAAGAGGGUCGUGGAAUUUCCAGUGUAGAGGUGAAAUUCGUAGAUAUUGGAAAGAACACCGGUGGCGAAGGCGGCGACCUGGUCCUUGACUGACGCUGAGGCGCGAGAGCGUGGGGAGCAAGCAGG